GCGACGCAAGACGUGAGUCCGUGCGUGCGUGCUCGCUCACGGCGGCGGCGGCGGAGCGGAGAGACCAGAGCCGGAGACCGAGCUGGGAUCGGGCCCCGGGCGGGGGCGGUGCGAGCGGCGCCAAGCAGAUCUUAGGGGCGGGGACGGAGCCGGGGCGGGCGGGACUGAAGCGGAGCCCGGGAACGGGGCGGGAGGUCCCAGGGUCCCGGGUUGGGGGUGUGGAGCAGCACUUCGUCGCCGCGGGGGUGCCGGGACUCCGGCCGCAGUGCCGCCGCCAUCACGGACUUCCUGUGGGACAAGCGCACGGGCCUCGCCGCCAGAACGAUGCCUCAUCCUCGAAGGUACCAUUCCUCAGAGCGAGGCAGCCGGGAGAGUUACCGUGAACACUAUCGGAGCCGAAAGCAUAAGCGACGAAGAAGUCGCUCCUGGUCAAGUAGUAGUGACCGGACACGACGGCGCCGGCGAGAGGACAGCUACCAUGUCCGUUCUCGAAGCAGUUACGAUGAUCGUUCAUCCGACCGGAGGGUGUAUGACCGGCGAUACUGUGGCAGCUACAGACGCAAUGAUUAUAGCCGGGAUCGGGGAGAUGCCUACUGUGACACAGACUAUCGGCAUUCCUAUGAAUAUCAGCGGGAAAACAGCAGUUACCGCAGCCAGCGCAGCAGCCGGAGGAAGCACAGACGGCGGAGGAGGCGCAGCCGGACAUUUAGCCGCUCAUCUUCGCAGCACAGCAGCCGGAGAGCCAAGAGUGUAGAGGACGACGCUGAGGGCCACCUCAUCUACCACGUCGGGGACUGGCUACAAGAGCGAUAUGAAAUCGUUAGCACCUUAGGAGAGGGAACCUUCGGCCGAGUUGUACAAUGUGUUGACCAUCGCAGGGGUGGGGCUCGAGUUGCCCUGAAGAUCAUUAAGAAUGUGGAGAAGUACAAGGAAGCAGCUCGACUUGAGAUCAACGUGCUGGAGAAAAUAAACGAGAAAGACCCUGACAACAAGAACCUCUGUGUCCAGAUGUUUGACUGGUUUGACUACCAUGGCCACAUGUGUAUCUCCUUUGAGCUUCUGGGCCUUAGCACCUUCGAUUUCCUCAAAGACAACAACUACCUGCCCUACCCCAUCCACCAAGUGCGCCACAUGGCCUUCCAGCUGUGCCAGGCUGUCAAGUUCCUCCAUGAUAACAAGCUGACACAUACAGACCUCAAGCCUGAAAAUAUUCUGUUUGUGAAUUCAGACUAUGAGCUCACCUACAACCUAGAGAAGAAGCGAGAUGAGCGCAGUGUGAAGAGCACAGCUGUGCGGGUGGUAGACUUUGGCAGUGCCACCUUUGACCAUGAGCACCAUAGCACCAUUGUCUCCACUCGCCAUUACCGAGCACCAGAGGUCAUCCUUGAGUUGGGCUGGUCACAGCCUUGUGAUGUGUGGAGUAUAGGCUGCAUCAUCUUUGAGUACUAUGUGGGAUUCACCCUCUUCCAGACCCAUGACAACAGAGAGCAUCUAGCCAUGAUGGAAAGGAUAUUGGGUCCUAUCCCUUCCCGGAUGAUCCGAAAGACAAGAAAGCAGAAAUAUUUUUACCGGGGUCGCCUGGAUUGGGAUGAGAACACAUCAGCUGGGCGCUAUGUUCGUGAGAACUGCAAACCGCUGCGGGUCAGACAGAAAAGAAUAAACUACCUUUGAAGAGCUUACAUUUUAAUGAGGAACUAAAGAAGAUUCAUGAAGUUGACAAGGAUAUACAAGUAGAAAGAACUUUCAAAGAUUAUGGAGUAAUUGUGCUAGUGGGAAGCGGUAUCUGACCUCAGAGGCAGAGGAACACCACCAGCUCUUCGAUCUGAUUGAAAGCAUGCUAGAGUAUGAACCAGCUAAGCGGCUGACCUUGGGUGAAGCCCUUCAGCAUCCUUUCUUCACCCGUCUUCGGGCUGAGCCACCCAACAAGUUGUGGGACUCCAGUCGGGAUAUCAGUCGGUGACGAUCAGGCCCUGGGCCCCCCCUGCAUCUUUUAUAGCAGUGGGUGUCCAGUCCAGGACACUGGUGCUUUUUUAUACAAGAGAACGAGCCAGAGUUCACUCCUUCCUCCUGGCUGUCUAUAUACCUGUGAAUAUGUGAAAUAGUGUAAAUAUGAAAGAACUUGUACCUAUCACUUCAACCCCUGCCUUGUACAUAAUGCUCUUCCAUCUACACAGUUUCCACCCUCACCUGCCCCCUCAUACGGAGUUGGAUGGGGACCGAGUGAGGUAACCAGGUGGCAUCUACCCAAUGUUUUAUAAGGAAUUUUGUACAGUCUUUGUGAAAUAAAAUAACGUGCUUCAUUUGACCCCCA
Piliocolobus tephrosceles (Ugandan red Colobus) is the source of this 2311-nucleotide RNA transcript. It is a transcript of the gene named CDC like kinase 2, with no coding region annotated. The transcript has 14 exons. The record is from RefSeq and is a predicted model, not a curated record. Lineage: Eukaryota; Metazoa; Chordata; Mammalia; Primates; Cercopithecidae.